UACAGCCACAUCAUGUUGAAACACCAGUUUCCAUAGGAUCAUUAAAGUUAAGCAACAUGGAGCCUGGUCAGUACCUAGAUGGGUGACUGCUUGGGAAUACCAGCUGCUGUAAG
Molecule: non-coding RNA, 113 nt
Organism: Acanthosepion pharaonis
Lineage: Eukaryota; Metazoa; Mollusca; Cephalopoda; Sepiida; Sepiidae
Source: the annotation of a GenBank genome assembly